CCACAGAAGAAGAAAUUAGGACACAAACAUAUACAGAGGGAAGACCAUGUGAAGACACAGUGAGAAGACCACCAUCUGCCAUCAAACAAAUAGGGUGUCAGAAGGAACCAAACCUGUCAACCCCUAGAUCUAAGUACUGGAGCCACUAGAAUGGGCCCAGACUCCCUGAACAGAAGGCAAUUCCUAUUCCUGGGAUAAAGGAAAAACACAGAUACCAGGAAACACAGGUGACCACUCAUUAUGUCCCUCUGAGGCUCCAGGGAAAGCUAGACAUGAACUUCAGCUCUGAGGAGCAGGGAACGAAGAAUUCACUGACAUCUGUGCCAGCUGUUCCUCUGUUUGAAUUGCAGUUAGCUUCUGAGCUGGUGAAAAAAAAAUGUUAUCUUCAAAUAAAAAGGUGAUUUAAAGCUUGACUACUUUUUAAACUAAAAUAGACUUCUUUCAUUUGUAUAUGAAAGGAAACAAGUAAUAUUAAUUGUAAUAACUU
Suricata suricatta (meerkat) is the source of this 487-nucleotide long non-coding RNA. RefSeq lists it as uncharacterized. The record is from RefSeq and is a predicted model, not a curated record. NCBI's taxonomy places the organism in Eukaryota, Metazoa, Chordata, Mammalia, Carnivora, Herpestidae. The transcript is spliced from 3 exons.